Molecule: ribosomal RNA, 815 nt
Filed under: uncultured bacterium
Lineage: Bacteria
Description: bacterial SSU rRNA
Rfam family: Bacterial small subunit ribosomal RNA
Source: RNAcentral
AGAGUUUGAUCAUGGCUCAGAACGAACGCUGGCGGCGUGGAUAAGACAUGCAAGUCGAGCGCUGAUUCAAGGGUAGCAAUAUUCUUGAGUCGGAGCGGCGCAAGGGUGCGUAACACGUGGGUAAUCUGCCGUGAAGUCCGGGAUAACUUGCUGAAAGGCGAGCUAAUACCGGAUGUGAAAAUUGGAAGGCAUCUUUUGAUUUUCAAAGUUGGGGACCGUAAGGCCUGACGCUUCAUGAUGAACCCGCGGCCUAUCAGCUAGUUGGUGAGGUAACGGCUCACCAAGGCUAAGACGGGUAGCUGGUCUGAGAGGACGACCAGCCACACUGGAACUGAGACACGGUCCAGACACCUACGGGUGGCAGCAGUCGAGAAUUUUUCUCAAUGGGCGAAAGCCUGAAGGAGCGACGCCGCGUGGGGGAUGAAUGGCUUCGGCCCGUAAACCCCUGUCAUUCGCGAACAAUGCCUGCGGCUUAAUACGUCGCAGGUUGAUAGUAGCGGAAGAGGAAGGGACGGCUAACUCUGUGCCAGCAGCCGCGGUAAUACAGAGGUCCCAAGCGUUGUUCGGAUUUACUGGGCGUAAAGGGUGCGUAGGCGGUCGGAUAAGUCUGAUGUGAAAUCUCCGGGCUUAACCCGGAAAUGGCAUUGGAUACUAUUCGGCUGGAGGGUUGGAGGGGGGACUGGAAUACUUGGUGUAGCAGUGAAAUGCGUAGAUAUCAAGUGGAACACCAGUGGCGAAGGCGAGUCCCUGGACAACUCCUGACGCUGAGGCACGAAAGCUAGGGGAGCAAACAGGAUUAGAUACCCUAGUAGUCC